UACGGAGGGGGCUAGCGUUGUUCGGAACUACUGGGCGUAAAGCGCGCGUAGGCGGCUUUGUAAGUUAGAGGUGAAAGCCCGAAGCUCAACUUCGGAAUUGCCUUUAAGACUGCAUCGCUAGAAUCGUGGAGAGGUAAGUGGAAUUCCGAGUGUAGAGGUGAAAUUCGUAGAUAUUCGGAAGAACACCAGUGGCGAAGGCGACUUACUGGACACGUAUUGACGCUGAGGUGCGAAAGCGUGGGGAGCAAACAGG
This 253-nucleotide ribosomal RNA is filed under the name uncultured bacterium. Its description in RNAcentral is "partial 16S ribosomal RNA". It matches the Rfam family "Bacterial small subunit ribosomal RNA", at positions 524 to 776 of the family's 1533-position model. The record is from RNAcentral.